Molecule: ribosomal RNA, 345 nt
Filed under: Bacillus siamensis
Lineage: Bacteria; Bacillati; Bacillota; Bacilli; Caryophanales; Bacillaceae
Description: bacterial SSU rRNA
Rfam family: Bacterial small subunit ribosomal RNA
Source: RNAcentral
UUAUCGGAGAGUUUGAUCCUGGCUCAGGACGAACGCUGGCGGCGUGCCUAAUACAUGCAAGUCGAGCGGACAGAUGGGAGCUUGCUCCCUGAUGUUAGCGGCGGACGGGUGAGUAACACGUGGGUAACCUGCCUGUAAGACUGGGAUAACUCCGGGAAACCGGGGCUAAUACCGGAUGGUUGUUUGAACCGCAUGGUUCAGACAUAAAAGGUGGCUUCGGCUACCACUUACAGAUGGACCCGCGGCGCAUUAGCUAGUUGGUGAGGUAACGGCUCACCAAGGCGACGAUGCGUAGCCGACCUGAGAGGGUGAUCGGCCACACUGGGACUGAGACACGGCCCAGAC